Molecule: unclassified non-coding RNA, 315 nt
Filed under: uncultured fungus
Lineage: Eukaryota; Fungi
Description: partial contains 5.8S ribosomal RNA and internal transcribed spacer 2
Rfam family: 5.8S ribosomal RNA (bases 1-133)
Source: RNAcentral
UGGCUCUGGCAUCGAUGAAGAACGCAGCGAAAUGCGAUAAGUAAUGUGAAUUGCAGAACUCAGUGAAUCAUCGAAUCUUUGAACGCACAUUGCGCCCUCUGGUACUCCGGAGGGCAUGCCUGUUCGAGCGUCAUUACACCACUCCCGCCCCGCGGGGUAUUGGGCGUCGCGGCCGCCGCGCGCCUCGAAGUCCCCCGGCCGGGCCCGUCGUCCCCGAGCGUUGUGGAACACCUGUUCGCUCGCGGGAGGAGGGGCGCCGUGCCGUCAAAACACUCUCCAAAGGUUGACCUCGGAUCAGGUGGGGAUACCCGCUGA